RNAcentral lists this non-coding RNA (129 nucleotides) under Paramoeba aestuarina. Lineage: Eukaryota; Discosea; Flabellinia; Dactylopodida; Paramoebidae. The record is from RNAcentral.
AGAAAGAGGAGGAAUGGAAGAGUGAUAAGGGAAAGAAAAAGGAAAAAGAAAAAGAAAGCCCACCUGUCUUCCCCUGUUCGCCUCCUUCUUGCUCUCCUCCAUCCCUUAACUCUCCUUCUUACUCCCCUC